RNAcentral lists this ribosomal RNA (577 nucleotides) under Symbiodinium sp. clade D. RNAcentral's name for it is "partial Bacterial large subunit ribosomal RNA". It matches the Rfam family "Bacterial large subunit ribosomal RNA", at positions 1399 to 2024 of the family's 2925-position model. The record is from RNAcentral. Lineage: Eukaryota; Dinophyceae; Suessiales; Symbiodiniaceae.
AGGCCGAAAGGCGUAGUCGAUGGUCAGCAGGUUAAUAUUCCUGCACUCCGUCUAAAGGUUGAUACGUAAGUGCGUUUUUCCAGAAUGUAGCCCAUUACUAGAUUAGGGUGCCCGCAAGGGCGAGGCCGAUUUGUUGCCGAAGUAUGUAACGGAAGAACCGAGAAAAGCUUGCGUGGACGAUAGGCGGAACCGUACUAAAACUGACACAGGUAGGCGAGGCGCGUAGCCUCAGGCGCUCGAGAGAACGGUCCUUAAGGAACUAGGCAAAAUCACCCCGUAACUCCGGGAUAAGGGGUCCCUACUGUUGUUAUAAAUAACAGAGGGCGCAGAGAAUCGGCAGCGGCGACUGUUUAUCAAAAACACAGGACUCUGCUAACUCGCAAGAGGAUGUAUAGAGUCUGACGCCUGCUCGGUGCGGGAAUGUUAAGGAAGUAGGUCAAGGGAUUCGUCCCUGAAGCUUGCGACCGAAGCACCCGUAAACGGCGGCCCUAACUAUGAGGGUCCUAAGGUAGCGAAAUUCCUUGUCGGGUAAGUUCCGACCCGCACGAAAGGCGUAAUGACUGGGACACUGUCUCGA